UCUGCAACUCGACUGCACGAAGUCGGAAUUGCUAGUAAUCGCGGAUCAGAAUGCCGCGGUGAAUACGUUCCCGGGUCUUGUACACACCGCCCGUCACACCAUGGGAGUCGGAAAUGCCCGAAGUCUGUGACCCAACCGCGAGGAGGGAGCAGCCGAAGGCAGGUCGGAUGACUGGGGUGAAGUCGUAACAAGGUACC
This 197-nucleotide ribosomal RNA is filed under the name uncultured bacterium. RNAcentral describes it as "partial 16S ribosomal RNA". It matches the Rfam family "Bacterial small subunit ribosomal RNA", at positions 1304 to 1500 of the family's 1533-position model. The record is from RNAcentral.